Molecule: ribosomal RNA, 582 nt
Filed under: Polaromonas sp. StTD713
Lineage: Bacteria; Pseudomonadati; Pseudomonadota; Betaproteobacteria; Burkholderiales; Comamonadaceae
Description: bacterial SSU rRNA
Rfam family: Bacterial small subunit ribosomal RNA
Source: RNAcentral
ACGGGUGAGUAAUAUAUCGGAACGUGCCCAAUCGUGGGGGAUAACGUAGAGAAAUUUACGCUAAUACCGCAUACGAUCUAAGGAUGAAAGCGGGGGAUCGCAAGACCUCGCGCGAUUGGAGCGGCUGAUAUCAGAUUAGGUUGUUGGUGAGGUAAAAGCUCACCAAGCCGACGAUCUGUAGCUGGUUUGAGAGAACGACCAGCCACACUGGGACUGAGACACGGCCCAGACUCCUACGGGAGGCAGCAGUGGGGAAUUUUGGACAAUGGGCGAAAGCCUGAUCCAGCAAUGCCGCGUGCAGGAAGAAGGCCUUCGGGUUGUAAACUGCUUUUGUACGGAACGAAACGGCUCUUUCUAAUAAAGAGGGCUAAUGACGGUACCGUAAGAAUAAGCACCGGCUAACUACGUGCCAGCAGCCGCGGUAAUACGUAGGGUGCGAGCGUUAAUCGGAAUUACUGGGCGUAAAGCGUGCGCAGGCGGUUAUGUAAGACAGUUGUGAAAUCCCCGGGCUCAACCUGGGAAUUGCAUCUGUGACUGCAUAGCUAGAGUACGGUAGAGGGGGAUGGAAUUCCGCGUGUAGCA